UGCGUAGAAAUUUGUGAUUACUCUUGAGUCAUCAUCACUAAUACGUAUAUCAUUUCCAACAUCUAUAAACUAAGAGAGGUUGUCUCAUUUUAGAAGAUAGGUAAAAAAUUUUUCAAUCGCCCAUCGACUCGUGUGACGUCACUGGAGGAAAGAAAAUAAGUAGGUAUUGUUUGUUUACAUAAUUUUGCACUGUGAUAAUGGAGUUAAGCGGUGUUGAUUAAAUUUUUACGAAUCAUUUUUUCAAAAAUCCGUUGCAUUUAAUUAAUUAAUGUAUUUAAUCGAAGAAGAAAUGAAUUGAAGCAGAAGAAGAAACAUUCUAUUCGUUCCAUUCGUUCGUUCUGCUGAACUGCUGCUGAAGAUGCGGGAGUUUCUUUGGUGUGAUCGGCAGUAUCAACGUAUGCAAAUAAAAGACUAAUUAAUAGAUACAGAAAUAUAAUAUCAUCAAUCAAUAUCAUAUCCUUUUUCCUUUCUUCAGAGUUCAGUGAUUCGUUGGUUAUUAAUAUUUAUUUUUCGUUCAACUUUUUGUAUUUCCUGUGUUUUUGUAAAAGUAUCUUUAUUUCUGUAUUUGAAUUCCUGAUUUUUGCUAAUAAAUGGAUGAAUAUUGAA
Planococcus citri (citrus mealybug) is the source of this 606-nucleotide long non-coding RNA. RefSeq lists it as uncharacterized. The transcript is spliced from 3 exons. Lineage: Eukaryota; Metazoa; Arthropoda; Insecta; Hemiptera; Pseudococcidae. The record is from RefSeq and is a predicted model, not a curated record.